UAUAUGCUGCCACCGGGUAGCUUUGAAUUAGCAUUCAUUUAUACAUCAUUAGGUCUUAGAAGAUGUAUAUUUUGAAUGCUUUUUUGUA
RNAcentral lists this non-coding RNA (88 nucleotides) under unclassified sequences. The record is from RNAcentral.